This is a long non-coding RNA of Daphnia pulicaria, 1595 nucleotides long. RefSeq lists it as uncharacterized. The transcript has 9 exons. NCBI's taxonomy places the organism in Eukaryota, Metazoa, Arthropoda, Branchiopoda, Diplostraca, Daphniidae. The record is from RefSeq and is a predicted model, not a curated record.
AUUGUUUUCUUCAGAAAAUUGUGGCUAAAAUGGAUUGUCCCCCAUCCACUAGGUGACGUGAGUGUCUUCGUCAAGACGAAAUAUUUGCCAUUUGUUUCCGAGACGCUGACUGAAAGUGUUUUCCAAAUUCAUUACGAAAUUGCGGUGUCGAUCUACAUUUUCAGCCAUGAAAUGUAAUUGGAAAUCUGGCAUAUAAUUUCACUUGGCCAAAUAAUGUGACCACUUGGGUCGAAACUGCUGUGCCGAAAUGUCGGCCAUUGUUAGCUGUACCUAUUCGGCUGUACGUCUCAUCUCGUGCAGAAACACUUCAGGAGCUAGUAAAGUCAGAGACGGAUAUCCUUUUGCUCAACUGUUGCAGAAAUUGAGAACACAACAAAGUCUGAGCCUCAUGGCUGUCGUAUCAUUAACCUGGUUUUGUUGCAGCUAGCUGGUAAAGGUUUGAUGGGGGUCAAGUUGAGCAGCAGCUGCUGCAUGCAGUUUAUCAAGCUGGUGUUAUCCAAAGUGUCACUGCAAGAAGACUUCAUGAAUUGGAGUUCAUGGUCGGUUUGAUGUUUAUGGUGUUGCUGUUUGGUGUACAGUGGUUUUGCAGCCCUUUUCCAGUUGAGAGAUGCUCUGAAAUGGAGUUUGUGCAGACUUGCAGUUCAACAUCACACUUAAAUGUCUCGUUUGUCUAUGUUGGUCUCCAUGCUCUAUGCAUUGUUGAACAGUUGGAUGUCGGUCUUAUUUUAUCGGUUGCAUUUUGUCGAUAUGUCGUCUCUUGGUACCGGCGUUGAGUUGAAUCGUUUGCUGCCGUUCCAUAGACUUGAUCCAUUUGUAAAACUGAGGGGAGGUUGCUGAAAUUAAAAACUCGUCAAUAAAUUAUGUAGAUGUAAACAAAUUACAGGUGCAUAUCUGGGCUCCCUUCUUCAGUGGCCCCGUUUCCCUAACUAACCACUAACCAACGCCCUCCGGUGGUGACUCACUCGUUGCGACAACCAGGAGGAAGGGAGAUGUCUGGUCGAACGGGGACUUGCAAUAAGGCGCAUGUUUCGAUGAAAUCUGUUGGAGGGUCAUGAGUCUAAGCCGGAAGCCUACUAUGAUGCAUUGCUCUCUUAAAAACUGUUCCUCGGCUCUCUUCGCUCUUUUUCCGGUUUCUCUUAACCAUGGCCGGGUAAUCUCCCUGGUCAAGUCAGUCGGACACUGUCUUCUCCUGCUUGACUGGCUGCAUUUUGAACCGGAUGGUCUGUUUAAAUAAGAAUUUAAAUCUAGAACAACGCUUCCUUUGAGCGGCCCGGACAAUCCUUAAGGGUUGCCACUCCAUCGAGGCUUAAACGAGGAUGACGCGGAGGUGUUGCCCAUUGAGGGGUUUUGGUGAAAAGAAGUCACUGAACAAAACGCUAAACCAAAUGAAAAAAAUAUUAAAAAAGGCCCAACCCCAGCAACGUCAACCUGCAGAAAGAAAAAGGCCAAUUUCCAUGGCCUUCAGACUCGAAGGUCGCGGAGAUAAUUACGUAAAACUGGCAUGGGGUGGUGUAGAGGUUGGGUGAGAAUGACACGUGUUUCAACAUUAUCAAGCAGACCCAUCCCCGGCAAAGUCACCUGCAGAAGGAAAGGCC